RNAcentral lists this long non-coding RNA (1513 nucleotides) under Macaca mulatta (Rhesus monkey). Its description in RNAcentral is "lncRNA (ENSMMUG00000061912.1)". The record is from RNAcentral. Lineage: Eukaryota; Metazoa; Chordata; Mammalia; Primates; Cercopithecidae.
CUACUUAAUGUAGAAUUUAGAUCUCUAAAAUAAAACAAAAUAUGGCAGACAUAUAUUCAUGCAUUUUAAGUGGAAGCUAAACUCUAUUUCUUAGAGAAAAAAAUAUAUAAAUUAUGCUGAGAGCAAAUCUAGGCAUGUCUUUCAAGAUUUGCCUGUUUGAAAAUGUUACAAUGAUCUUAAAACUGAAUGUUUUAUGUUAACUGCAAAUACAUUUUAAAUCCAGUCACUCUGAGUCAGACUAAAUGUUCUUCUCCUUAAGGAUGUAAAUUUCAUUCUUGGGAUUUUGUUAAGUAAUUAAUUUUGAUAUCAGUGUAUAUGCUUAGAAUCAAACAAUAUCUUGGAAAAAAGCGUAUUACAAAUUUAAAGAAUGACCAAAUAAAAUAAAAAUGAGAAAAAAAAGAAGAUUCAGUAUUAUAAUGGUGUGUGACUGCAUCCUUGUUAAUUUCAUGGAGGAGUAAUUUUUAUCAGUUUAUGAAAAAUAGACAUUUUAAUAUCUCAUACAGAAAAAAACAAAUCUACAAAGCAAAGUUCUUUGCUUUAAGAUGCAUGUUUAGAAAUUAAAAUCAUAAAAUAUUGAGCUAAGAGAAUAUUUAAUCUGAGUGUAAAACGCUCCUUUAAAGCCAGUGCACAGAAGGGUGAAGACGAGUCACAGACUAGAACGUAUUUGUAUGACUUUUUUGGAGUGGAGGUGGUAGUUGCGUUUUCUAAUUGGAUACGUAGUCAUUUUUACUUUAUCUUAUUUAUUCUCCUUCCAGAAUAGUACCAGGAAAUUAUGUUUUGGCUUCACUUCUGAAUCAACAAUGAUGGUCGCCAUCUGCAGAGGAUGAGGGAGAAGGAACAGUUUAGCAUGAGUAUCAGCAUUUCUGAGAGUUCAGUUUCUUUGAAAACCACAGAAGGGAAAAUGCAGUGGAGAACUUGUGAACAACUGGGUCAGGAAAAACUGCGGCUGCUUUUCAGGGCUCUGAUCUAGGAACCCCAGAUGCAAAGACAUGCUGGCGUCCUCUUGCUCAGCCAUUCACCAGGAAACAGGUGAGCCAGCUCACUUCAUCAACCUCCGUGUGCAAUGUAGCUCAACAAAUAACUGAUUGACAAUCCUUUAUAAAUAUUAACAUGGUGCAAAAGUAAUGGCAAAAACCACAAUUACUUUUGUAUUUGUGUACUAAUACUAUUGGCUGUGUUGUCACAUGUGUGCAUUUGGAUUUACUGAGGCACUGUUUCAGAGGGUAUUAUCUGGACUUGUUAUACAUUUUGACUCACUAAGAGUAAUAUUCCUAAUGUACUUGUUUUUUUUUUUUUUGGCAUAGAAACACUAUGUUGAGUCUUAUUUUAAUGUUUCAAGGUUUCAAAAUUUUUCAGUUUGCUAAGCAGGUAUGUGUAUAGAACUUCUCCUAGGGGGAAGAGGAAGACACGAUUGAAUGAGUUGAAGACAAGAGUUGAGCUAUUACGUGUGUCGUGCCUUUGCAAUAUGGAUAGAAUCUAUUACUUUUUUUUUUUUUUUAAACAAAACCCCAAA